GAUGAACGCUGGCGGCGUGCCUAACACAUGCAAGUCGAACGGACAGGCGCGGCUUUUGUUGGGUUCUCGUUUGGCGAACGGGUGUGUAUCACGUGAGUAUCCUGCCCUUAUCUUUGUGAUAACUUCAGGAAACUGGGGCUAAUACCCGAUAUAAGCUCCUGCUCCAUGUGGUUGGUUGGUAAGUGUCGGCUUUUGUGGAUGGACUCGCGGCUUAUCCACUUGUUUGUGUGGUAGUUGCUUACCACGGUUUUGACGGAUAGCCGGCCUGAGAGGGUGAACGGCGACAUUGGGACUGCGAUACGGACCAGACUGGUACGGGAGGCAGCGGUGGGAAGCAUGGCACAACGGGGGGACGUGUGAUGCAGAAGUGCCGCGAGCGGGAUGACGGCCUACGGGUUGUAAACAGCUUUCGCAUGUGACGAGGAGUGAGUGACGGUAAUGGGUAAAGAAGCAACGGCUAACUACGUG
Molecule: ribosomal RNA, 468 nt
Filed under: uncultured bacterium
Lineage: Bacteria
Description: partial 16S ribosomal RNA
Rfam family: Bacterial small subunit ribosomal RNA
Source: RNAcentral